RNAcentral lists this ribosomal RNA (265 nucleotides) under uncultured archaeon. Its description in RNAcentral is "partial 16S ribosomal RNA". It matches the Rfam family "Archaeal small subunit ribosomal RNA", at positions 717 to 982 of the family's 1478-position model. The record is from RNAcentral.
ACACGACUACAUUAGAUACCCGGGUAGUCCCAGCCCUAAACGAUGCGCGUUAGGUGUAUCGGUGACCACGAGUCACCGAGGUGCCGAAAGGGAAACCGUGAAACGUGCCGCCUGGGAAGUACGGUCGCAAGGCUGAAACUUAAAGGAAUUGCGGGGGAGCACCACAACGGGUGGAGCCUGCGGUUUAAUUGGACUCAACGCCGGGAAGCUCACCGGAUAAGACAGCGGAAUGAUUGCCGGGCUGAAGACCCUGCAUGACCAGCUG